CGGAAGGCGGAAGAGCCGGGUCUGGAUACCACAUUGGGUGGGUCGGGGGCGGGGAAUGUGUUAACCAAUGAGCUGAAGGGAAAGUGAGGGGCGGGAGUAACCACAGUUGCUAUGCGCUACCCUAGUGGGAGGUGAUUUAAGAGAUGGGGUGGAGGGUGGUCCAGCUUCCCUUCACGUCACGGUUUCGAGCCCGCGGAAGUUAAGCAACCGAGAGGCGGGCCUAGGACAGGAAGCAGGAAGGAGGGCGCAGGAAGUAGGGCCCGCAGCCAGGCGUACUGUCUGUCCGUGGGUCUGUGGGUCCUGAGGGCAGUAUGGAGAAGCUGCGGCUCCUCAGUCUCCGCUACCAGGAGUACGUGACUCGCCACCCAGCCGCCACGGCCCAGCUGGAGACGGCAGUGCGGGGCCUCAGUUACCUCCUGGCAGGUCGCUUCGCGGACUCGCACGAGCUGUCAGAGUUGGUGUACUCUGCCUCCAACCUGCUCGUGCUGCUCAAUGACGGCAUCCUAAGGAAGGAGCUGCGAAAAAAGCUGCCUGUGUCGCUGUCCCAGCAGAAGCUGCUGACAUGGCUGAGUGUGCUGGAGUGUGUGGAGGUGUUCAUGGAGAUGGGGGCUGCCAAGGUGUGGGGCGAAGUGGGCCGUUGGCUCGUCAUCGCCCUCAUCCAGCUGGCCAAGGCUGUCCUGCGGAUGUUCCUGCUCAUCUGGUUCAAGGGUGGCCUCCAGACCUCGCCCCCCAUCGUCCCGCUGGACAGGGAGACCCAGGCCCAGCCCCUGGAUGGUGACAACAGCGCUGGCAGCCGGGAGCAGUCAUACGUGGGAAAGCGGUCUAACAGAGUGGUGCGAACCCUCCAAAAUACCCCAUCCCUGCAUUCAAGGCACUGGGGAGCCCCCCAGCAGCGGGAGGGACGGAAGCAUCAGCACCUGGAGGAGCUGAGUGUCACCCCUACCCCGCUGGGACUGCAGGAGACCAUCGCCGAGUCCUUGCAUAUUGCUCGGCCCCUGCUGCACUUGCUUAGCCUGGGCCUCUGGGGUCAGAGGUCGUGGGCACCCUGGCUCCUGUCUGGCAUUGUGGAUGUGACCAGCCUGAGUCUCCUGAGCGACAGGAAGAGCCUGAAUCGGAGGGAGCAGCUGGAGUUGCGACGGCGGACCAUCCUGCUGCUCUACUACCUGCUGCGCUCCCCGUUCUACGACCGCUUCUCUGAAGCCAGAAUCCUCUUCCUGCUGCAGCUGCUGGCCAACCACGUCCCAGGCAUUGGCCUGGUAGCAAGGCCACUCAUGGAUUACUUGCCCACCUGGCAGAAAAUUUACUUCUACAGUUGGGGUUGACUGAUGGCCUGGGGGUGGGGUGCGGGGAGGGGCGAGGCAGCAGGCCCCACUGCUGUGGGCAGAGGGUGUCAGGCCCUUCAGUUCCCUGCGGCCCCUCUCAAUAAAACUGACUGUGGCAGUUUCCAUGCCUGUGACCUCUCCAUGCUCACCGCCAGGGUGUCUGGCACUCCUCCCCCGCCAGGAGUGGCUCACAGCCCUGGUCGCCAGAGCUCCCCUGCCCCUGCCACCUCUGAUGACACCCUCUGGCGAUGGAGCCCCUGCAGGUGCGCCUCGUCACUGGAACCUCCACUGGGACCGGGACCCAGCCUCUCCCCAGCCUCAGAGCUGGGAUGAGGCUCACGGAGCAUGGAGUGCUCCUGCCGUGGCAACUGCGAGAGUCACUGCUGCCUCACCAGUCCCGAGGCUGAACCCAGGCCCAGGCAGCCACUCCACCCAGCUGUGUGCGGCCCCUUCUGCGGGGCCUGGAACUGCCUGCCAGCCUCUCGGAUGGAGCCUGGCCGUCUCCUGCCAGUGUCUAGCCUGGCGGGAGACCAGCGAGCUGUGAGAAGGCGUAGUCUACAGCAGCGCCCACUGGGCCUCACCUCCCAGGCCCCCCAAGGACCUCCCAGUACUGCUGCUGGCGUGGCUGAGAAGCCCACCCAGGGCCUCGGCUGGGGUGUGGAGGUUCGGAACCUUGGGGCAAUGGCAGCUUCGGGUGAGUCCAGCACAGUGGGGCACUUCCCUGCUGCUUCCCCAGACACUCACUGGUCAUGGUGGAGGUGUAAGAAUCCACACAGGGUGCUGGGCCUUGGAAAUAGG
Condylura cristata (star-nosed mole) is the source of this 2120-nucleotide RNA transcript. It is a transcript of the gene named peroxisomal biogenesis factor 16, with no coding region annotated. The transcript is spliced from 12 exons. The record is from RefSeq and is a predicted model, not a curated record. Lineage: Eukaryota; Metazoa; Chordata; Mammalia; Eulipotyphla; Talpidae.